GAUGCCAUCACUCCUGUGAAAAGGGUGACAUCAUUGAGACGGCAAAGAACAGUGGAGGCUGAGGCAGAACCUUCCAAGGGAUGGCAGAUUUGGAGGACUCCCGUUCAAUGUGGUACCAUCACCCUAACUCAAAACAAAUCCAGCAGGACCUGGAACAGUGGCUGGAGGCUCCAGAAGAUUUCAGAAUUGGAGAGCUGCGUGCAGUCUCCGUGGAAAUGGAUUGGAAGCACUGACAUUUCUUCCCCCAGCCUGUAUCUGCUGCUCAGUCUCAACUCUUCUGUCUCCACGACCCGCCCAGCUGUCACUCUUUGCUAAGUUUGCUAAACAAACAUAGGGUGACUGGAAGUCUUUAUCUGCGUGGAGAGUCUGGUGCUGGACAAGCACAAUGGGGAGUGCUCAGGAUCAGGGUGCUGUGAAGAAGACAUGGGUGUGUCUUCCGUGAACCCUAGGAUCUCUGGAUGUACCAGCAGCAACAUAGACUUUUCCUGGCUUGUUCAAGGCUGGUCAAAGCAGCUCCUGCCUCACACUUCUCAGACCCAGCAGGUCAUAUGUCAGUCAUGCUGACAUCAGGGGGACUAGGAAGCCAGGUGCCCACCACAGUCUCCUCACCCUAACCUCAGCCACUUUGAGUGACUAGACUGUGGCUCUGUUUUCCAUUUGCAUUUCAUGGACUGACUUUAUGUACUUGAGCCAAGCUCAUACUUAUCCCCGUGUCCCGUUGACUCCAUAUGCUGUAAGUAACCUUUAACUCUCUGCUGAACUGAAGGACUUGGCACUCCCCUGUCUCACUUCACAGUAAGCAUUCAACACACGCAAUACGCUUACAACCAACAUACUACUUCUCAACCCACGCAAUAUGAUUGCAACCGACAUACUACUUCUUAAACAGGAACUACAGAGAUGGGAACCUUCAACAGAAGGAAAUUUGAGCAAUGACCAUCCUACUCCAUGGCACCCUCUGGCGGUGAGACAACAGCGUGAAGUGAGACCGGAAGAGCCAGAAAACAGAUUCACGGGAACAGAGUAGUUGCCAGGCUUUGUGAUUAUGAUGUGGACCAUCGUGACAGCUCUAGAACAUGGGAAUGCUGAAUGUACGGCUACUAAGGGAAGAUGCUUGCAGAGCUGCUUUAAAUGUGAAUGAAAAAGAAGACUCUUCACCUCAGUCACAGUGGCCAUCAUCAGGAAUACAAAUGGCAGCAAAUGAUGGUGUGGAUGUGGGGAAGACGCCGUAUACACUGCUAGUGGGGAUGCAAACGAGUGCAGGUACUUGAGGAAACAGAAGGGCUCUCAAGACCCCGCUACACCAUGCUUGGCCUUAUACCCCACGGCAGACAUUUGCCGCCAUGUUCUUUUCUGUGCUAUUCACUGUAGCUAAGGAAUAGAAUGGAUCUAGACGUCCAUCCACAGAUGAGUGGACAAGGACAUGUGGCACAUGCACGCUUUGAAAUAUCACCUAGCUGUGAAAUUGGCAGGGAAGUGGAUAGAACUGGAAAAAGGUAUAGUGGGUGAGGUGAUAAAAGCUGUAUAUACAUUUUCUUUCAAACACAAAUUCCAGCUUUUUCCCCCCCUAAUCUUUUCUCCUCUAUCAGUGGAAGCCAUGGAAGUAGAAAGGGGACACAGGAAGGGAGGAGGAUGCAGAUUAUAUGUUAAAUGAAAGUAACGGGGUGAAACAUUGAGAGUGAAAAGCUUAACCAGGAAGGGAUGUGGGAUGUGGGGGAAAUCGGUGGGUAAACGGAAGCUAACCAAAGGAACAGGGCGUGCAAAGCCAAACAGAAGCUACUGUCUCUUUUAAAAGGAGAGGAAGGAUAAAAGAAUACAGGUAAAGUCAAAGAAGAAUGGGAAGUCCUGGUAGGUAAAAGAUUAUGCAGGUUGCGUGGGUAAGAGAGGGGAAAACCACUGGUGUAUGAACUAUAAAACUAAGGAUCUAUGAAAAGGCCUUGCUGAAAAGGUCUCCAAAACAGCACAGGCUUUUACCAUUGACCUUGGUGACAUACCAUAACUACAUGGUAAGACCCUACAGAGGAAGAAAAUACUUGCUUUGGUUGCAGGACUAAAGAAACCAAUCCAAAACCAACCAGGAAACUCCUCUGAUGGUGAGCUUUCAUACAGGCUUCUGGGGAAAAAAAGACAUUAAUGGUCUUAGCAGCUUUAGGACUGCAGACCACCAGAACCUGAAUUUCUUGUAAACAACUUGUUUUCCUCUGCUCUGAGCAGGCUGCAGCUGCUCUGAGCACUGAGCACGAGACCCUGAUGGCAGGGGAGUGAGUUCUG
Long non-coding RNA from Alexandromys fortis (reed vole), 2271 nucleotides. RefSeq lists it as uncharacterized. NCBI's taxonomy places the organism in Eukaryota, Metazoa, Chordata, Mammalia, Rodentia, Cricetidae. The transcript is spliced from 4 exons. The record is from RefSeq and is a predicted model, not a curated record.